AAAGGGAGACCUAAUUCAGGUAAAAGACGAAAAAAAAGUAGUCGCUACCAAGAAUCAAUCCCAAAAGGUCGGAGCGAGGCGAAAUUGGCUUUCAAACUAGGUUCUGGGUUCAAACAAGACCUGAAUCAGGAACAAGGGCUAUUAGCUCAGGUGGUUAGAGCGCACCCCUGAUAAGGGUGAGGUCCCUGGUUCGAGUCCAGGAUGGCCCACCUGCACAGGUGGCAAAAACAAGAGAAGCGAGGAAUCAGCACCUUAUCUUAUAUACAUAUAUAAGAGAGAAUGCUGGCUCUGAGUACAGAGUCCAGAGGAACCUUGAAAACUGCAUAGAGCUAGGUGAAAAAGCCAAAAAAGAAGACCGCAAG
RNAcentral lists this transfer RNA (362 nucleotides) under uncultured Microcystis sp. Its description in RNAcentral is "partial 16S-23S ribosomal RNA intergenic spacer". The stretch from base 136 to 209 matches the Rfam family "tRNA". The record is from RNAcentral. Lineage: Bacteria; Bacillati; Cyanobacteriota; Cyanophyceae; Chroococcales; Microcystaceae.